Long non-coding RNA from Odocoileus virginianus texanus, 1274 nucleotides. RefSeq lists it as uncharacterized. NCBI's taxonomy places the organism in Eukaryota, Metazoa, Chordata, Mammalia, Artiodactyla, Cervidae. The record is from RefSeq and is a predicted model, not a curated record.
GGUGGUCACUGCCCAGAGCUAGUGAUCCAAACUGGGGUCACAUCCCAGGCCCUUAACUAGCCAGCCUGCAGCCUCUCUCACACACACACACCCCCACCCAGAGCUGGGGGGCACAUGGCUGCUUUGCCUGUCCAAGCCCCCAGCUGUGUCCACCCUGGGCUCUGCCCCUAGUUCUCAGAAAAGACUCCAACCUCCUCACAUGGCCAUUGGAAAAUUAAAGAAAAAAAAAAAAGAUUCUUUGAUUCAGUCUCAGAAGCUUGUCAGCUUAAGAAGCGCUGCUUUUUUAAGUGCCUGUGAGUCACUCACCUUUUCAACCAGCCUCCCCGCUCCAGCCUGCGAGUGAGCGGGCAGGUGAGGCGAGAACAGAGCAGCAGCCUCAUCCCUGAGUCAGCGAUGACUCCCGGCUUUCUCCUCCACAGCUUAAUCACCUCCGAUUGCGGCUCCUGACUGGGCGUGAGGCACUCCCGGCAUCAUCUCCUUUGUCUGACCCUCGCCUCCCUGCCAUCCGGCCGCCAGUUUGUCCGUGGUGAUGGAGCGUGCUGUACUUGCCAGCGCCCCCAAAAGGAAGCCCGGCAGACAAGUGACUCAGGAAUCGGGACCCACCCCCCUCCCCCUCACCAUCUGCUCUCGGCACCCGCGCCUCUGGGGCAAGAAGAGGGGCCGGGAGACUGCUCCCACAGAAGCCUGCAGAUGACGGAGCCCCCAACUCCCACUUGCGGAUCGGAUGACAGAAAUGAAAGAAACUUUAAGGGAAGUUAGGACAUAGGCCUAGCAGUCACACUGAAAACUGAAGAAUCACAUGCUUGUGGAGGAAAAGUUACACAAGGAGGCAGAGCAGAUCUAGGCUUCUAGCACCGAGAAUGAUCCAGGUGGAUUUUCAAGGAGCCGCUGAAUAUGUAUGAGAGAGAGAAUCUGAACACGAGAAACAGCAGAGGCGCAAGAGGAAGCUGGAUGGAUGAAGGCCAAAGGGAAGAAGGCCUGGGACCGUGGCACGGACGGACCUGGCCAGACAGAGAUGGGGAGCGGGGCAGCAGAAAGGAGGCUCAGGAGGAAGGAAGAACAUUAGAGGCCAAGGGAGCGGGCCAGGAGCCGGCAGAGCGGGCAGAUGGAGCGGCACGCGGUGAGGCCUGGCCGCCAAGCCCUGCGGCUUCUGAGGGAAGCGGUCGCUUCCAGGGAGCAUGUGGAAGAUCCUUGUUGACUCGGGCCCAGCGCGGCCUCCACCCGGAGGAGCAGCCCCAGUCCCCGCCCUAAUCCUCCUUUCCGUCUUCCUCCAG